CAGCUUUGUAGGAGAGCUGGUCUCUCCCAACUCCUUAACCACUUUCUUGACUUGGCUUGAGAAAAACCACAUUUCUCUCAUUUUUCCUUGUUCAUCACUCCUCAGUCUCCGUUAUUCCUUAACCACCUAGGGUCAUGUCAUUGGACCUUUCCUUUUUUUUUUUUUCCUAUCUACGCUCACUCCCCUAUUGAUCCCAUUGAAUUUCAUAGCUUUAACACUGUGUAUAUGCUGACAAUUCCUAAAUUUAUAUAUCUAGCCAAGACCUCGCCUCUUCAUGACAGAAUAACUUUCAACUGUCUGUUUCCUAUCUCCACUAUUAUGUCUAAAAUGUGUCAAACUUAACAUGUCCAAGCUAAAGGUCCUGUCUUUCUCUUCCUCAUCUCCCCAACACUGAUUGAUGUUUUAGUUGAUAACAACUCAAUUUGCUCAACCUAAAACCUCGGAGUCAUCCUAGACUUCUCUUUUCUCAGCAUGAUAGCCAGAAUGAUUCUGCUGUAAUGUAAGUCAAAUUAUAUCACUUCCUAUACAAAAACCUUCCAGCAGCUUCUCUUAAAAACCUGUUAUCCUAAUGGCCUACGUGGUCUCAUUCCCAGUUAUCUCUUACCUUGUCUUCUCCUACUUUCCCUUUCAUUCACUUUAUUCCAGCCACACCAGUCUCCUUUCUCACCCUUAAACACACCAGGAUGCUCUUAUUUCAAGGCUAUUCUUUCCACCCAGAAUAUUGUAACUUCACCCUCAUCUCCCUAGGUGUUUACUUAAAUGUUUUUCACUCAGUCUGGCCAUCCCUUUUAAAAAUUACAACCCCAACUGUGAAGACUUCAUGUUCUGUUUUCUCCAAAACGUGUAUUACCAUCUGCUAUACCAUACAAGAAAUGUGUCAUCUGUUGCCCCCAGUUGAGUAGGACUAGGGUUUUUGUUUGUUUUGUUAAGUAUUGUAUCCCUGACACCUAAAGCAGUACCUGGCAUAUAUAGUAGAAUGAUUGAAUGAAUGAAUGAAUAUCAGAAAUUUGGUUAACAACACUUAUCUUAAAGAGCCUGAGACUUCUGGAGUUGAGGGUCCUGGAAGACAGUGAUAGAAAGAUUGAGUUUCCUUUCCCUUUGAUUUGCCCCAUUUUCAUAAAUAUUGAAAUCAUUUUCUUGAUCAUGCAAUUUGAUGUUACUAUUGAUCCAUCAUUAAUUUUGAACUGUUUGGCUUUGGGUUACAAAUAUUUGUUAAAAUUUGGUACAGAUUUUCUUUGUUAUUCAAGCUUUUGCAGUUCCUCUGUUGAGAUAAUACAAAUUUGGAUAUCAAAGGAUAUCUGAAUCUACUUGGUUCCUUAGUUUUAGAUACUGGGAAGUAAGAUUUGGGUUACCAAGGGACUUAUCUGAAAAUUUAAUCUGUUCAAUUCCUGGGUCUGGAUAUCAAGAAUUUGGAUAGCGAGGGAUAUCUGUAAUCAUACUUUAAAAUUUUAGUUAUCUUAGCAUCAGUUUUCUGAAAAUUCACUAGAAAAUUAUAACAACCCUUAGGUGGCAGCAAAUCAGUGAAAAACAUCUGAAUCCAGUGCUUAGCAUCUGCCUGUCAUACUCCUCACCAUCAGGGUGUUAAAUUUAGAAAGACAGAUAUCCAGAGGCACAGUAUGGGAGGAAUUUAGUAUUACUCUCCAGCUCUGUUAGCUGAGUGAGUAAUGGGGCUCCCGCUGUGGAGAAAGGUGCGAGCGUACCCAGGGACAUGGGGAGAAAUUAAAGUUAAAGGGAGUCUGGGAAGUAGUGACAGUGAGGAGAAGCACUCAGAAAUUAAGUACUCUAAUUGCCUCCUCAGGAAUUCCGUCAGAAAUCGCUGGACUGGGAGAAGCAACGCUUGAUUUAUCAGCAACAGGUAUCUUCACUGGAGGCACAAAGGAAGGCUCUGGCUGAACAAUCAGAGAUAAUUCAGAGAUGGGGUUUUACCAUGUUGUCCAGUCUGGUUUUGAACUUCGGGAUUCAAGCAAUCCGCCAGCCUCAGUGUCCCAAAGUGCUGGAAUUACAAGUGUGAGCUACCACCACUGGCAGUUAAGAAUUUUAACAAUUUGUCAAUGAAACAAGAAUCUCAAUUAGAGUCUUUAUAUACAAUCUGUACUGUUGGAAUUUUCAAAUAAAUAUUGUAAAGAAAAUUAACACU
This 2137-nucleotide small RNA is filed under the name Pan troglodytes (chimpanzee). RNAcentral describes it as "retained intron". Lineage: Eukaryota; Metazoa; Chordata; Mammalia; Primates; Hominidae. The record is from RNAcentral.